RNAcentral lists this ribosomal RNA (255 nucleotides) under Micromonospora sp. ISO596_OTU3192. Its description in RNAcentral is "partial 16S ribosomal RNA". It matches the Rfam family "Bacterial small subunit ribosomal RNA", at positions 29 to 289 of the family's 1533-position model. The record is from RNAcentral. RNAcentral also lists the same sequence under 3 other names. Lineage: Bacteria; Bacillati; Actinomycetota; Actinomycetes; Micromonosporales; Micromonosporaceae.
ACGAACGCUGGCGGCGUGCUUAACACAUGCAAGUCGAGCGGAAAGGCCCUUCGGGGUACUCGAGCGGCGAACGGGUGAGUAACACGUGAGCAACCUGCCCCAAGCUUUGGGAUAACCCUCGGAAACGGGGGCUAAUACCGAAUAGGACUUCCGGCCGCAUGGCUGGGGGUGGAAAGUUUUUCGGCUUGGGAUGGGCUCGCGGCCUAUCAGCUUGUUGGUGGGGUGAUGGCCUACCAAGGCGACGACGGGUAGCCG